UACAGAGGGUGCAAGCGUUAAUCGGAAUUACUAGGCGUAAAGCGCGCGUAGGCGGCUGCCUAAGUCGGAUGUGAAAGCCCCGGGCUCAACCUGGGAACUGCAUUCGAUACUGGGCGGCUAGAGCAUGAGAGAGGGAGGUAGAAUUCCACGUGUAGCGGUGAAAUGCGUAGAUAUGUGGAGGAAUACCGGUGGCGAAGGCGGCCUCCUGGUUCAAUACUGACGCUGAGGUGCGAAAGCGUGGGGAGCAAACAGG
RNAcentral lists this ribosomal RNA (253 nucleotides) under uncultured bacterium. Its description in RNAcentral is "partial 16S ribosomal RNA". It matches the Rfam family "Bacterial small subunit ribosomal RNA", at positions 524 to 776 of the family's 1533-position model. The record is from RNAcentral.